RNAcentral lists this transfer RNA (92 nucleotides) under Ruminococcus sp. Its description in RNAcentral is "tRNA-Ser". It matches the Rfam family "tRNA". From Rfam's summary of the family: Transfer RNA (tRNA) molecules are approximately 80 nucleotides in length. Their secondary structure includes four short double-helical elements and three loops (D, anti-codon, and T loops). RNAcentral also lists the same sequence under 4 other names. The record is from RNAcentral. Lineage: Bacteria; Bacillati; Bacillota; Clostridia; Eubacteriales; Oscillospiraceae.
GGAGAGUUGUCCGAGCUGGUCGAAGGAGCACGAUUGGAAAUCGUGUAAACGUCAAAAGCGUUUCGAGGGUUCGAAUCCCUUGCUCUCCGCCA